This 3084-nucleotide long non-coding RNA is filed under the name Brassica napus (rape). Its description in RNAcentral is "long non-coding RNA (BNAP_LNC000941)". Lineage: Eukaryota; Viridiplantae; Streptophyta; Magnoliopsida; Brassicales; Brassicaceae. The record is from RNAcentral.
AGGAGGUAUCUUGAGAUGGGGUUGAACGAUGAGGCGGUGGUGAUGUUCUUCAAGAUGCUAGAGUUGAAUGUUCGACCUUUGAAUCAUACAGUCUCUAGUGUGGUUUUAGCUUGUUCAAGAUCACUAACCCUCGAGGUGGGAAUGGUGAUCCACGCCAUUGCUCUCAAACUCAAAUUCUUGCCAGACACGAUUGUUUCCACUUCGAUCUUCGAUAUGUAUGUAAAAUGCGGGAGGCUGGAGAGUGCUCGUAAAGUGUUUGAUCAAACCGAGUCUAAAGACUUGAAGUUAUAACUCGGUCAAUAAAUCAGAUGACGCCAAAGACCCACAAGCUCACUUUUGAAAAUAUUCAAACAAAGUAUAUCAUCAGAAAAUAAAUAAAGAGUUGAAGAAGCAAACCUUAUGCUAGAGAAUAGCUCUGUUUUGUCAGUGAACCAGUCAGGUAUGUCUCUAACGAUUCGGACAUCAUCUUUCAAGUAAUCAAUAAAAUGAUCUACAUCAAAAAUGUCUUCAAAUUUCCUGCGUAAUAAAAGUUUAUUUUGUCAGCAAACUAAUUAAAAAAUAAAUAAUAGAGAGAGUGCUUGACUCAUAUUAUCUGAAUAAAAGCUUACGUUUGGUCUUUCCAAAUUUGAUCCUGCUUCAGUACUGGUAGAAUCAGAGUUGCAUUCAUAAUCUUGGCAACAGCAACUGCAUUACAGAUCUACAAAACAAAAAAGAAGAAGCCAUAACUCAUAUUGAUCCAUGAUAGGGUAGCAAAAGGAGACAAAAGAAUGGAAGAUAUACAUACAGCAAUCCGCUGCUGAUUCAAACCACCUUCAGCAUGAAUGAAAACAUAUCCAUUUGUUUCAUUCUCAGGAAGAACAUCUGAAAAAACAAAAAACAAAGUUAAAAGUGAGAUUUGCUACUAAGCUGACACAAAGACAAAACAAACCAUUCUCUAAUAUACCAGAGACUUCUCCACCAAUGCGCCGCUCAGCGCAAGGCUUCCAAGAAGAAAUUAGGAUAACAAGAAUAUUUGUGGAUAGAUAAGUAUUUUGUAAUAUUUUUUCAUAAAUAUCUUGUAUUCUUAAAUAAUUUUCUUAAAAACUGCUAUUUUUGGAAAGUUUUCAUUUUUUUGAGAAAUAUUGUAGAUUUGGGUUUGUGAUUUAGAAAUUAGGAUAACAAGAAUAUUUGUGGAUAGAUAAGUAUUCUGUAAUAUUUUUUCAUAAAUAUCUUGUAUUCUUAAAUAAUUUUCUUAAAAACUGCCCUCGGUAAGCGGGCCGUGGGAGCAUGGCGGGGGGUGCUAUCCCCUUUUGACUGAUAGAAAGCAUCUCUCUUUUGUCUCUCCUGACCAAACCCGCCAAAAAAAUCACAAAAAAAUCACAACAGAAUAAGGUGUUCUUGCCGGGAGAGUAGCGUCUGAGACAUCUUUAUCUGAGGCGUUCCUCGGCUUCGUCGUCCGGCUCAUCCUCGGAAUCCGAAAAUCAAACUGAGACAGAACGGAUUGUUUCAGUGACAUAUCUAAUCAGACUGAAUAGGAUUUGAAGAGCUGUCACCAUCAUUCAAUUCACAUCAAUUUAAGCAGGCGUUCCUCGGCGCGGAAGUUACCGUUUAUAGAAUGCAAGCAAGGUAGCUUGCCUGCCAAGCCGAUAGGCGAAACGGCGAACUGAUCGACUUGCAUGCAUGUGUUAAGCAUAUAGCUAGCGUUCCUUAGUCUCAAUCACAGACCUUUUUCCAUUUUAGGUGAACGAGGGUUACCGGCUCUACGACCUUGCAAGGCACUACAGUAGAGCUCGAGGAACGCCUGCCACUUUCUCAAUCGAAAAUGUCAACUGUGAAGAUUCUCGCGUUUCUUUAUGUAAUUUCAGGAUUUCUUUUCGUUGAUCGGAUCGAGCACAUAGUAAGAAACCCUAAGUCAAUUCAUUCUCUUUGGCUGAAGUCAAUCUUCAUCAAGAUGGCUUACCGGUAAUCUCCCAUUCCCGCCGUCGAGAGACUUUAAUAACUAUAGCAUGCCAGAAAAGGGGAGUUUAGGUGCUUAGACCUAUAGCCCGAAAUCUUCUCUUAUAAGCCGACAUAACAUAUUCAACCACGGAUUAAGUCGACAUAACAUCCUCACGUUCAGUCAGGGUUUUCCAAUUGGAUUACCUUGCCGGAAUUGGAUAGAAGUAGGGCUAGACGCGCCGGAGGAACCCCUUCUGCUCGAGCUCGCCUUAGGAAACUUUCCCCAAGGUUUCAAGAUCCAUCUUUCAGGUUCCUUUCAAGCUGUAAGGCUCGCUCUGUUCUCAAGGCUUGGUAGCUCUUCACAAAGUCCUCCUUUUUCCACGAGUUGGAACCGUGCCGACACAUUUUCAUAUCGUCCCCUUUGAAAACUGUUAUUUUUGGAAAGUUUUCAUUUUCUUGACAAAUAUUGUAGAUUUGGUUUAUGAUUAAGAAAUUAGGAUAACAAGAAUAUUUGUGGAUAGAUGAGUAUUCUUUAAGAAUUUUUUAGCAAUAUGUUGUAUUUUUAAAUAUAUUUUUUAAAAACUGCUAUUUAUGGAAAGUUUUCAUUUUCUUGAGAAAUAUUGUAGAUUUUGGUUUGUGAUUAAGAAAUUAGGAUAACAAGAAUAUUUGUGGAUAGAUGAGUAUUCUUUAAGAAUUUUCAGUAAUAUGUUGUAGUCUUAAAUAAUUUUCUUACAAACUGCUAUUUUUGAAAAGUUUUCAUUUCUUUUUUGAGAAAUAUUGUAGAUUUGAGUUUGCGAUUUAGAAAUUAGGAUAACAAGAAUAUUUGUAGAUUGAUGAGUAUUCUUUAAGAAUUUCUUAGCAAUAUUUUGUAUUUUUAAAUAAUUUUCUUAAAAACUACCAUUUAUGGAAAGUUUUCAUUUUCUUGAGAAAUAUUAUAAGAUAUUUAUGAAAAAUAUUUGUGGUUGUGAGGAGGUAUCUUGAGAUGGGGUUGAACGAUGAGGCGGUGGUGAUGUUCUUCAAGAUGCUAGAGUUGAAUGUUCGACCUUUGAAUCAUACAGUCUCUAGUGUGGUUUUAGCUUGUUCAAGAUCACUAACCCUCGAGGUGGGAAUGGUGAUCCACGCCAUUGCUCUCAAACUCAAAUUCUUGCCAGACACGAUUGUUUCCAC